RNAcentral lists this ribosomal RNA (177 nucleotides) under Sus scrofa (pig). Its description in RNAcentral is "partial small subunit ribosomal RNA". The record is from RNAcentral. Lineage: Eukaryota; Metazoa; Chordata; Mammalia; Artiodactyla; Suidae.
AAUAGUUACAUAACAAAACUAUUCGCCAGAGUACUACUCGCAACUGCCUAAAACUCAAAGGACUUGGCGGUGCUUCACAUCCACCUAGAGGAGCCUGUUCUAUAAUCGAUAAACCCCGAUAGACCUUACCAACCCUUGCCAAUUCAGCCUAUAUACCGCCAUCUUCAGCAAACCAAU